GGGCCCAUAGCUCAGUUGGUAGAGCGCACCCAUGGCAUGGGUGAGGCCACGAGUUCAAGUCUCGUUGGGUCCACAA
RNAcentral lists this transfer RNA (76 nucleotides) under Parcubacteria group bacterium SW_6_46_9. RNAcentral's name for it is "tRNA-Ala". It matches the Rfam family "tRNA". Rfam says of the family: Transfer RNA (tRNA) molecules are approximately 80 nucleotides in length. The record is from RNAcentral.